AUCGAACGCUGGCGGCAGGCCUAACACAUGCAAGUCGAGCGAACCUUUCGGGGUUGGUGGCGGACGGGUGGGUAACCCGUUGGAACGUGCCUUUAGGUUCGGAAUAACUCAGGGAAACUUGUGCUAAUACCGAAGGUGCCCUUCGGGGGAAAGAUCUGGCGCCUUUAGAGGGGCCCGCGUCGGAUUAGCUAGUUGUUUGAGGUAAUGGCUCACCAAGGCGACGGUAAGUAGCUGGUAUGAGAGGAUGAUCCGCCACAUUGGCAGUGAGACGCGGCCCAAAAUACUACGGGAGGCAGCAGUGGGGAAUCUAGCGAAAUGGGGGAAAGCAUGACGCAGCCAUGACGCGUGAAUGAUGAAGGUUGUAGGAUUGUAAAAUUAUUUCACCGGGGACGAUAAUGACGGUACCAGGAGAAGAAGCCCCGGCUAACUUCGUG
This 434-nucleotide ribosomal RNA is filed under the name uncultured bacterium. RNAcentral's name for it is "partial 16S ribosomal RNA". It matches the Rfam family "Bacterial small subunit ribosomal RNA", at positions 30 to 507 of the family's 1533-position model. The record is from RNAcentral.